GAUGAACGCCGACAGAAUGCUUAACACAUGCAAGUCCACUUGAACUUCGGUUUGGGUGGCGGACGGGUGAGUAACGCGUAAAGAACUUGCCUCACAGCUAGGGACAACAUUUGGAAACGAAUGCUAAUACCUGAUAUUAUGAUUAUAUGGCAUCGUAUAAUUAUGAAAGCUAUAUGCGCUGUGAGAGAGCUUUGCGUCCCAUUAGCUAGUUGGAGAGGUAACAGCUCACCAAGGCGAUGAUGGGUAGCCGGCCUGAGAGGGUGAUCGGCCACAAGGGGACUGAGACACGGCCCUUACUCCUACGGGAGGCAGCAGUGGGGAAUAUUGGACAAUGGACCGAGAGUCUGAUCCAGCAAUUCUGUGUGCACGAUGAAGUUUUUCGGAAUGUAAAGUGCUUUCAGUUGGGAAGAAAAAAAUGACGGUACCAACAGAAGAAGUGACGGCUAAAUACGUG
This 454-nucleotide ribosomal RNA is filed under the name uncultured bacterium. RNAcentral describes it as "partial 16S ribosomal RNA". It matches the Rfam family "Bacterial small subunit ribosomal RNA", at positions 28 to 507 of the family's 1533-position model. The record is from RNAcentral.